AGCGAACGCUGGCGGCAGGCCUAACACAUGCAAGUCGAACGGAUCCUUCGGGAUUAGUGGCGGACGGGUGAGUAACACGUGGGAACGUGCCCUUUGGUUCGGAACAACUCAGGGAAACUUGAGCUAAUACCGGAUGUGCCCUUCGGGGAAAGAUUUAUCGCCAUUGGAGCGGCCCGCGUCUGAUUAGCUAGUUGGUGAGGUAAAGGCUCACCAAGGCGACGAUCAGUAGCUGGUCUGAGAGGAUGAUCAGCCACAUUGGGACUGAGACACGGCCCAAAACUCCUACGGGAGGCAGCAGUGGGGAAUCUUGCGCAAUGGGCGAAAGCCUGACGCAGCCAUGCCGCGUGAAUGAUGAAGGUCUUAGGAUUGUAAAAUUCUUUCACCGGGGACGAUAAAUGACGGUACCCGGAGAAGAAGCCCCGGCUAACUACGUGCCAGCAGCCGCGGUAAU
Molecule: ribosomal RNA, 451 nt
Filed under: uncultured bacterium
Lineage: Bacteria
Description: bacterial SSU rRNA
Rfam family: Bacterial small subunit ribosomal RNA
Source: RNAcentral